This 689-nucleotide ribosomal RNA is filed under the name Pseudomonadota bacterium. RNAcentral's name for it is "bacterial SSU rRNA". It matches the Rfam family "Bacterial small subunit ribosomal RNA", at positions 48 to 728 of the family's 1533-position model. Lineage: Bacteria; Pseudomonadati; Pseudomonadota. The record is from RNAcentral.
UUUACACAUGCAAGUCGAACGGCAGCACGGAGAGCUUGCUCUCUGGUGGCGAGUGGCGAACGGGUGAGUAAUAUAUCGGAACGUAUCCAAUAAUGGGGGAUAACGAGUCGAAAGAUUCGCUAAUACCGCAUACGCCCUACGGGGGAAAGCAGGGGAUCGUAAGACCUUGCGUUAAUGGAGCGGCCGAUAUCUGAUUAGCUUGUUGGUGAGGUAAAGGCUCACCAAGGCGACGAUCAGUAGCUGGUUUGAGAGAACGACCAGCCACACUGGAACUGAGACACGGUCCAGACUCCUACGGGAGGCAGCAGUGGGGAAUUUUGGACAAUGGGGGCAACCCUGAUCCAGCCAUUCCGCGUGAGUGAAGAAGGCCUUCGGGUUGUAAAGCUCUUUCGCAAGGGAAGAAAACUUAUGAUCGAAUAAAUCAUGAGGUUGACGGUACCUUGAUAAGAAGCACCGGCUAACUACGUGCCAGCAGCCGCGGUAAUACGUAGGGUGCGAGCGUUAAUCGGAAUUACUGGGCGUAAAGCGUGCGCAGGCGGUUUUGUAAGUCGGAUGUGAAAUCCCCGGGCUCAACCUGGGAACUGCGUUCGAAACUGCAAGGCUAGAGUGUGUCAGAGGGGGGUAGAAUUCCACGUGUAGCAGUGAAAUGCGUAGAGAUGUGGAGGAAUACCAAUGGCGAAGGCAGCCCC